UACGAAGGGGGCUAGCGUUGUUCGGAAUUACUGGGCGUAAAGCGUAUGCAGGCGGAUCGUUAAGUCGGGGGUGAAAUCCCGAGGCUCAACCUCGGAACUGCCUUCGAUACUGGCGACCUUCGAGUCCGGGAGAGGUGAGUGGAACUCCGAGUGUAGAGGUGAAAUUCGUAGAUAUUCGCAAGAACACCAGUGGCGAAGGCGGCUCACUGGCCCGAUACUGACGCUGAGGCACGAAAGCGUGGGGAGCAAACAGG
RNAcentral lists this ribosomal RNA (254 nucleotides) under uncultured bacterium. RNAcentral describes it as "partial 16S ribosomal RNA". It matches the Rfam family "Bacterial small subunit ribosomal RNA", at positions 524 to 776 of the family's 1533-position model. The record is from RNAcentral.